UAGAAGUAACCAGAUAUGACCCGUUAGGA
RNAcentral lists this non-coding RNA (29 nucleotides) under Rattus norvegicus (Norway rat). The record is from RNAcentral. Lineage: Eukaryota; Metazoa; Chordata; Mammalia; Rodentia; Muridae.